CACUAGACCGUGAUAAUGUAACGUAAUCAUAGCCAAUUAAUUGUUGGCCGGUAUGAAUGGCGUCAUCAACGCCCCACUGUCUUAAGAGGACUCUCCAUGAAAUUGAAUUCGUAGUGAAGAUGCUACUCCAUAUUGUAAGACUGAAAAGACCCCAUUGAGCUUUACUAAAGACUUGCAUGGCUCAAAAUAUUGCUUAAAUAAAAAGUUUAGAUAAUGUGGGAUCCGUUUCCGGUUAAUGAACACCACUCUUUUAUUUUAAGAGAGCUAACAUUACAGGGAUAGUGUAAGUUGGAUAGCUUGGUUGGGGCGACCACCUUUUGAAAGGUAGUAGGUGAGCUUAAGGUCGUAGUUAAUAGCCGGUUGCAGGGGCGUCUUAGAGCCAUCCUUAGGGAUGUGGGCUAUAAGCCCGUCAUUUAGGUGUGGAAGGUUGAAGAUCAUUUAAUCAAAGGCUCCCAUGGGGA
RNAcentral lists this ribosomal RNA (461 nucleotides) under Dactylanthus antarcticus. RNAcentral describes it as "partial 16S ribosomal RNA". It matches the Rfam family "Bacterial large subunit ribosomal RNA", at positions 1938 to 2474 of the family's 2925-position model. Lineage: Eukaryota; Metazoa; Cnidaria; Anthozoa; Actiniaria; Ptychodactiidae. The record is from RNAcentral.